CAAUAGCGUAUAUUAAAGUUGUUGCAGUUAAAAAGCUCGUAGUUGAAUUUCUGUCUAGUACUACCCGAGCGAAUUUUCGUCUUCGUGGUGCAUUCUAGACAUUUCUCCAGGGAACGUUGCUGUGCUUAAAUUGCAUGGUGCGGUAACUGGAACUUUUACUUUGAGAAAAUUAGAGUGUUUCAAGCAAGCAUUUGCUCUGAAUACUGCAGCAUGGAAUAAUUUUAUAAGACUUUGGUCUUAUUUUGUUGGUUUCUAAGGCUAAAGUAAUGAUUGAUAGGGACAGUUGGGGGCAUUCGUAUUUAACUGUCAGAGGUGAAAUUCUUGGAUUUGUUAAAGACGAACUACUGCGAAAGCAUUUGCCAGGGAUGUUUNCAUUA
RNAcentral lists this ribosomal RNA (377 nucleotides) under uncultured eukaryote. Its description in RNAcentral is "partial 18S ribosomal RNA". It matches the Rfam family "Eukaryotic small subunit ribosomal RNA", at positions 592 to 975 of the family's 1831-position model. The record is from RNAcentral.